This 1468-nucleotide ribosomal RNA is filed under the name uncultured fungus. RNAcentral describes it as "eukaryotic LSU rRNA". The stretch from base 682 to 1468 matches the Rfam family "Eukaryotic large subunit ribosomal RNA", at positions 1 to 648 of the family's 3401-position model. The record is from RNAcentral. Lineage: Eukaryota; Fungi.
UCGUAACAAGGUUUCCGUAGGUGAACCUGCGGAAGGAUCAUUAACAAAUCGUUAGGUGGGGGGAAGCCUGCGAGGGCGUCCCCCACCAUAAUAUUAACCCGACCGCAAGGUCAGGUCAUGUUUAGGGUGUUUAGGGGGGAGGAGAGGGCGAUUCUCUGGGGGAAAGCACUCAGUGUGUGUACCCUAAUAUAGUCUCCCAAGAAGAACCCCUAGCCCCAACAUUAAUGCUUGCAUGUUUGACUGUUUAAUGACAAGAAAUAUAUACAACUUUUAACAAUGGAUCUCUUGGCUCUUGCAACGAUGAAGAACGCAGUGAAAUGCGAAAAGUAAUGCGAUUUGCAUGAAUCUGUGAGUCAUCAAGUUUUUGAACGCACCUUGCACUCUUUGCGCAAGUAAAGAGUAUACCUGUUUGAGAAUCGUAUCCUUCUCGACCCUAGUCUAGAGUUGGACUUGGCCCUUCACACAGCAAGAAGGAGGGAGUCUUGUGGCUCCCUUUGUGUGUGUGUGUGGGCUUGAAUGCAGCAGGCUUGGACUAGACGGGUCGUCUAGACAUUGUGUGAUAGACAAGAUCUCUCUUGUACUCACAAUGCGUCUAGGCGGUCAAACCCGGCUAACCACCAAGCCUCACAAGCAGUGGGGAGGAAGCGUUCGCGCGCUCCCCACCCUUAACCCUCUCAGCGUCGAUCUCAAAUCAGGUAAGGCUACCCGCUGAACUUAAGCAUAUCAGUAGCGGAGGAAAAGAAACUAAMAGGAUUCCCCUAGUAACGGCGAGCGAACCGGGAAGAGCUCAAAUUUAAAAUCUGGUAGGCUCCGUCUAUCCGAAUUGUAAUUUAAAGAGGCGCCAUGUGGGUCGGGUCGGGUGCUCAAGUCCCUUGGAAUAGGGCAUCACAGAGGGUGAGAAUCCCGUCUGGGCAUCUGGCUCCAUCCAGCUUCAUGCGCCCUCUACGAGUCGAGUUGUUUGGGAAUGCAGCUCUAAAUGGGUGGUAAAUUUCAUCUAAGGCUAAAUAAUGGCAAGAGACCGAUAGCGAACAAGUACCGUGAGGGAAAGAUGAAAAGCACCUUGAAAAGGGAGUUAAAUAGUGCGUGAAAUUGUUAAAAGGGAAACGAUUGAGACCAGUAUUGGCAGUGCUGGUAAGUGGCCUUGGGUGGGGGUAGGUUGGGAGUCCAAGAGCAGACUAUGCCUUGGGUCCCUAUCUCUCGCCGUCCAUGGCCAUGUUUUCCGGCACUGGCGAGUCAGCAUCAGUUUGGCUGGCUAGACAAAGGUUGGGGGAAGGUGGGGCGUUAGAGUUUUCUUUCGCUCUUUAUAGACUCCAGCCAACCUAGCCGGCUGGACUGAGGCGAGCAGCUGCGUAAUCAUCAGGUGUGCCUUGUAUCCCAAAGGUCAGGACUACGUGUAGACCAAACCCCCAAGAUCCAUCCCACCCUGAUGCAGUAGUAUCUGGAUGCUGACGAAAUGGUCUUAAACGAC